UACAGAGGUCUCAAGCGUUGUUCGGAUUCAUUGGGCGUAAAGGGUGUGUAGGUGGCGCCGUAAGUCGGGUGUGAAAUUUCGGAGCUUAACUCCGAAACUGCAUUCGAUACUGCGGUGCUUGAGGACUGGAGAGGAGACUGGAAUUCAUGGUGUAGCAGUGAAAUGCGUAGAUAUCAAGAGGAACACCUGAGGUGAAGACGGCAUCCUGGACCAAUUCUGACACUGAGGAGCGAAAGCCAGGGGAGCAAACGGG
This 253-nucleotide ribosomal RNA is filed under the name uncultured bacterium. Its description in RNAcentral is "partial 16S ribosomal RNA". It matches the Rfam family "Bacterial small subunit ribosomal RNA", at positions 524 to 776 of the family's 1533-position model. The record is from RNAcentral.